This 450-nucleotide ribosomal RNA is filed under the name uncultured bacterium. Its description in RNAcentral is "bacterial SSU rRNA". It matches the Rfam family "Bacterial small subunit ribosomal RNA", at positions 355 to 825 of the family's 1533-position model. The record is from RNAcentral.
UCGAGAAUAUUCGACAAUGGGCGAAAGCCUGAUCGAGCGACGCCGCGUGCAGGAUGAAGGCCCUCGGGUUGUAAACUGCGGUAGUAGGGGAGGAACGCAAGUGACUGUACCCUACGGAAAGUGGUUGGUAACUACGUGCCAGCACCAGCGGUAAUACGUAGACCACAAGCGUUAUCCGGAUUUAUUGGGCGUAAAGAGCAUGUAGGAGGUCCGGUGCGUCUCUGGUUAAAGCCCACCGCCUAACGGUGGAAGUGCCAGAGAUACGAUCGGACUGGAGGAUGUGAGAGGUGCAUGGAACUCACGGUGUAGGGGUGAAAUCCGUUGAUAUCGUGGGGAACACCAAAGGCGAAGGCAGUGCACUGGUACAUUCCUGACUCUGAGAUGCGAAAGCGUGGGGAGCAAAAAGGAUUAGAUACCCUUGUAGUCCCUGAGCGGGCUGGCAAGGCGCAU